RNAcentral lists this ribosomal RNA (443 nucleotides) under uncultured bacterium. RNAcentral's name for it is "partial 16S ribosomal RNA". It matches the Rfam family "Bacterial small subunit ribosomal RNA", at positions 28 to 507 of the family's 1533-position model. The record is from RNAcentral.
GAUGAACGCUGGCGGCAUGCCUAACACAUGCAAGUCGAUCGGUAAGGCUCUUCGGAGUACACGAGAGGCGGACGGCUGAGUAACGCGUAGGAACACACCCUGCAGUGAGGGAUAAGACACCGAAAGGUGUUCUAAUACCGCAUACGGUCUUCGGAUUAAAGCAUUUAUGCGCUGAAGGAGUGGCCUGCGUCAUAUUAGAUAGUUGGUGAGGUAAUGGCACACCAAGUCGAUGAUGUGUAGCUGGUCUGAGAGGAUGAUCAGCCAGACUGGAACUGAGACACGGUCCAGACUCCUACGGGAGGCAACAGUGAGGAAUAUUUCACAAUGAGCGAAAGCUUGAUGGAGCAAUGCCGCGUGCAGGAUGAAGGCCCUCGGGUUGUAAACUGCUUUUAUAAGAGAAGAUUAUGACGGUAACUUAUGAAUAAGGGACGGCUAACUACGUG